Molecule: ribosomal RNA, 468 nt
Filed under: uncultured bacterium
Lineage: Bacteria
Description: partial 16S ribosomal RNA
Rfam family: Bacterial small subunit ribosomal RNA
Source: RNAcentral
GACGAACGCUGGCGGCGUGCUUAACACAUGCAAGUCGAACGGAAAGGCCCUGCUUUUGUGGGGUGCUCGAGUGGCGAACGGGUGAGUAACACGUGAGUAACCUGCCCUUGACUUUGGGAUAACUUCAGGAAACUGGGGCUAAUACCGGAUAGGAGCUCCUGCUGCAUGGUGGGGGUUGGAAAGUUUCGGCGGUUGGGGAUGGACUCGCGGCUUAUCAGCUUGUUGGUGGGGUAGUGGCUUACCAAGGCUUUGACGGGUAGCCGGCCUGAGAGGGUGACCGGCCACAUUGGGACUGAGGUACGGCCCAGACUCCUACGGGGGGCAGCAGUGGGGAAUAUUGCACAAUGGGCGGAAGCCUGAUGCAGCAACGCCGCGUGCGGGAUGACGGCCUUCGGGUUGUAAACCGCUUUCGCCUGUGACGAAGCGGGAGUGACGGUAAUGGGUAAAGAAGCACCGGCUAACUACGUG